UCACCGCUCAGGCUCUGCCUGGUGAUGGGGCAUGCGGGCAACCGCAGCUCCCAAAUGCAGUGGCGGUUCCCAUCGGGUUCCCUUGCGCAGUAGAAGCAACUCGCUGUCGCCUCGGAGUCCCGCGUGGGCGGCCUGCCGUAAAACACCCAACGUCUUCCACU
This 161-nucleotide unclassified non-coding RNA is filed under the name uncultured Ascomycota. Its description in RNAcentral is "sequence contains ITS2". Lineage: Eukaryota; Fungi; Ascomycota. The record is from RNAcentral.